AAUCCAUGCAUCAGACAUUUUUGAAUUAAAUCUAUAAAUUAUUCCCAAGCUUCAUAUAAUGUUUCAUCCUCUACUGCCGAAAAGAUGUGAUGUUGUUUCUAAGCUU
Molecule: small nucleolar RNA, 106 nt
Filed under: Gossypium hirsutum (cotton)
Lineage: Eukaryota; Viridiplantae; Streptophyta; Magnoliopsida; Malvales; Malvaceae
Description: Plant small nucleolar RNA R71
Rfam family: Plant small nucleolar RNA R71
About the family: R71 is a member of the C/D box family of snoRNAs containing the C (UGAUGA) and D (CUGA) box motifs.
Source: Rfam by way of RNAcentral